UAGAUAGCUUAGUUGGUAGAGCAUGAGACUCCUAAUCUCAGGAACAUGGGUUUGAACCCCACAUUGGGCAAAA
Podarcis lilfordi (Lilford's wall lizard) is the source of this 73-nucleotide non-coding RNA. The record is from the annotation of a GenBank genome assembly. Lineage: Eukaryota; Metazoa; Chordata; Lepidosauria; Squamata; Lacertidae.